UACGUAGGGCGCAAGCGUUGUCCGGAAUUAUUGGGCGUAAAGAGCUCGUAGGCGGCUUGUCACGUCGAUUGUGAAAGCCCGGGGCUUAACUCCGGGUCUGCAGUCGAUACGGGCUAGCUAGAGUGUGGUAGGGGAGAUCGGAAUUCCUGGUGUAGCGGUGAAAUGCGCAGAUAUCAGGAGGAACACCGGUGGCGAAGGCGGAUCUCUGGGCCGAUACUGACGCUGAGGAGCGAAAGCAUGGGGAGCGAACAGG
Molecule: ribosomal RNA, 253 nt
Filed under: uncultured bacterium
Lineage: Bacteria
Description: partial 16S ribosomal RNA
Rfam family: Bacterial small subunit ribosomal RNA
Source: RNAcentral